RNAcentral lists this ribosomal RNA (497 nucleotides) under uncultured bacterium. Its description in RNAcentral is "partial 16S ribosomal RNA". It matches the Rfam family "Bacterial small subunit ribosomal RNA", at positions 28 to 507 of the family's 1533-position model. The record is from RNAcentral.
GAUGAACGCUGGCGGCGUGCCUAAUACAUGCAAGUCGAGCGAACAGACGAGGAGCUUGCUCCUCUGACGUUAGCGGCGGACGGGUGAGUAACACGUGGAUAACCUACCUAUAAGACUGGGAUAACUUCGGGAAACCGGAGCUAAUACCGGAUAAUAUAUUGAACCGCAUGGUUCAAUAGUGAAAGACGGUUUUGCUGUCACUUAUAGAUGGAUCCGCGCCGCAUUAGCUAGUUGGUAAGGUAACGGCUUACCAAGGCAACGAUGCGUAGCCGACCUGAGGGGGCGAUCGGCCACACUGGAACUGAGACACGGUCCAGACUCCUACGGGAGGCAGCAGUAGGGAAUCUUCCGCAAUGGGCGAAAGCCUGACGGAGCAACGCCGCGUGAGUGAUGAAGGUCUUCGGAUCGUAAAACUCUGUUAUUAGGGAAGAACAAAUGUGUAAGUAACUAUGCACGUCUUGACGGUACCUAAUCAGAAAGCCACGGCUAACUACGUG